CUCUACCUUGCAGAUUUGGCCGCCCGUCCCAAGCGCUGGACAACAAAAAUAGGGAGAUGGAACAAAAUUUGGCCUAUAGAAAAGAAAGAUAAUGUGGAAAUUAAAUCAUUAAGUUCACUUAAGCAAAUCCUUCGACACCAAGGAGAAUGGUCCGGCAGCAGCUCAGUCCAUGCUUCAACCGCCCCCCUCCAUACCCUCCAGCCCCAGCCCACUUCCCUAAGGUUCCUUGUGGGAUUCCUCAGCAACACCAAUGCACUGACCAUCACUCUAUGUUCUCCUAGGUUCUGAUGAAGAUCUGCAGGGGCCUGCACAUGGUGGUGUGGAGAAUAUGAAAUCAGAACUUAGAAAGUCGAACGCCCAGUCUCACCUCUGUUUGGCUAUCCGUCCCAAGCACUGGACCACAAAAAUAUGGAGAUGGACCAAAAUUUGUCGUGCAGGAAAUAAAGGUAGUGUGGAAAUUAAAUCAUUAAGUUCACUUAACCAAAUAAUCCCAGUUUAGUGGGUGGGUGCCCUGAGCUUCUUGGAGCCCCUGAUGUAAACAGGGAUAAAGGACAUAUGAGAUUAGUCUGGAAUCUGAGGCAGGGCGUGAUGAGGAGGCUGUGAGUUUGGGGUAGGGAGGGAAAAAAGGGCCUGGCUGAAAGGAAGGCAGGGUCCUGGGCUUUCUACAGUCCAGCCUGGGAAGGACAGAGCCCAGGGAGGCCCAGAGCUCCCUCCUGACACCUGCACAUAGAAGUGUAGUCUGGCCAGACAGUGCUCUGUAGACUGCUGUGGGGUUGGGGAGUGGCUUCUCCUAGGUACAGAACCUCAGGCACCUGCAGGAUGCAGGGCUCCAGGGUCCCCCGGAUGCCUGUUGAUGGCUCUCCUCUGAGGGGGUGUAAAUUGGCUCGCUGGGCACCCACAAUGGGCAAGGCACUUGCUCUCAGUAUAAUGCACUAAACACUGACAAAUCCACACCCAUUUAAGAUAGGCACAAUUACAAUUACUAUCCCCAUUUUAGAGCUAGGGAAACUGAGACACUGAGCAGUUAACUUGUCCAGGCUCCAUAGAUAAACAGUCAGGGUAGAGCUGGGGUCUCAACACAAGCAGGCUCCCUCCGGAGUGUGAGCUCCUAGCUACUGGUUGUCCCACUGCCCUUGUCCAGCCUUGGCUGUCUGGGGUGGCAGUUAUGCCUUUGGGCUGCAGUUGAACGACCAGUUGCCUUUUCCA
Molecule: long non-coding RNA, 1206 nt
Organism: Piliocolobus tephrosceles (Ugandan red Colobus)
Lineage: Eukaryota; Metazoa; Chordata; Mammalia; Primates; Cercopithecidae
Exons: 3
Source: RefSeq, a predicted model, not a curated record